RNAcentral lists this ribosomal RNA (1678 nucleotides) under Photorhabdus sp. CRCIA-P01. RNAcentral's name for it is "bacterial LSU rRNA". Lineage: Bacteria; Pseudomonadati; Pseudomonadota; Gammaproteobacteria; Enterobacterales; Morganellaceae. The record is from RNAcentral.
CCGCUGGAGGUAUCAGAAGUGCGAAUGCUGACAUAAGUAACGAUAAAGCGGGUGAAAAACCCGCUCGCCGGAAGACCAAGGGUUCCUGUCCAACGUUAAUCGGGGCAGGGUGAGUCGACCCCUAAGGCGAGGCUGAAAAGCGUAGUCGAUGGGAAACAGGUUAAUAUUCCUGUACUGAAGGUGACUGCGAAGGGGGGACGGAGAAGGCUAGGCCAUCCGGGCGACGGUCGUCCCGGUUUAAGCGUGUAGGUGGAAAGAGCAGGCAAAUCCGCUCUUUCGUUAACACCGAGGCGUGAUGACGARCCGCCACGGCGGUGAAGUGGUUGAUGCCCGGCUUCCAGGAAAAGCCUCUAAGCCUCAGGUCACCUUGAAUCGUACCCCAAACCGACACAGGUGGUCAGGUAGAGCAUACCCAGGCGCUUGAGAGAACUCGGGUGAAGGAACUAGGCAAAAUGGUGCCGUAACUUCGGGAGAAGGCACGCUGGCAGUAGGUGAAGGGCCCGCGCCCGGAGCCGAAGCCAGUCGCAGAGACCAGCUGGCUGCAACUGUUUAUUAAAAACACAGCACUGUGCAAACACGUAAGUGGACGUAUACGGUGUGACGCCUGCCCGGUGCUGGAAGGUUAAUUGAUGGGGUUAGCACGCRAGUGCGAAGCUCUUGAUCGAAGCCCCAGUAAACGGCGGCCGUAACUAUAACGGUCCUAAGGUAGCGAAAUUCCUUGUCGGGUAAGUUCCGACCUGCACGAAUGGCGUAAUGAUGGCCAGGCUGUCUCCACCCGAGACUCAGUGAAAUUGAACUCGCUGUGAAGAUGCAGUGUACCCGCGGCAAGACGGAAAGACCCCGUGAACCUUUACUAUAGCUUGACACUGAACAUGGCGCCUUGAUGUGUAGGAUAGGUGGGAGGCUGUGAAGUGYGGACGCCAGUCCGCACGGAGCCGUCCUUGAAAUACCACCCUUGAAUGYGCGAUGUUCUCACCCAGGUGCGUGAUCCGGACCGGGGACAGUGUCUGGUGGGUAGUUUGACUGGGGCGGUCUCCUCCCAAAGCGUAACGGAGGAGCACGAAGGUUGGCUAAUCACGGUCGGACAUCGUGAGGUUAGUGCAAAGGCAUAAGCCGGCUUGACUGCGAGAGUGACAGCUCGAGCAGGUACGAAAGUAGGUCUUAGUGAUCCGGUGGUUCUGUAUGGAAGGGCCAUCGCUCAACGGAUAAAAGGUACUCCGGGGAUAACAGGCUGAUACCGCCCAAGAGUUCAUAUCGACGGCGGUGUUUGGCACCUCGAUGUCGGCUCAUCACAUCCUGGGGCUGAAGUCGGUCCCAAGGGUAUGGCUGUUCGCCAUUUAAAGUGGUACGCGAGCUGGGUUUAGAACGUCGUGAGACAGUUCGGUCCCUAUCUGCCGUGGGCGUUGGAAGAUUGAAAGGGGCUGCUCCUAGUACGAGAGGACCGGAGUGGACGCACCGCUGGUGUACGGGUUGUCAUGCCAAUGGCAUCGCCCGGUAGCUAAGUGCGGAAGAGAUAACCGCUGAAAGCAUCUAAGCGGGAAACUUGCCUUGAGAUGAGUCUUCCCUUGACUUGAGGUCACGGAAGGAACGUUUAAGACGAAGACGUGGAUAGGCUGGGUGUGUAAGUGCAGCGAUGCAUUGAGCUGACCGGUACUAAUGAACCGAGCGGCUUAACCUU